RNAcentral lists this ribosomal RNA (446 nucleotides) under uncultured bacterium. RNAcentral describes it as "partial 16S ribosomal RNA". It matches the Rfam family "Bacterial small subunit ribosomal RNA", at positions 354 to 796 of the family's 1533-position model. The record is from RNAcentral.
GUAGGGAAUAUUGGACAAUGGGCGGAAGCCUGAUCCAGCCAUGCCGCGUGGAGGAUGACUGCCCUCUGGGUUGUAAACUCCUUUUGUACAGGAAGAAACCUCCUCAUUUAUGAGUGAGCUGACGGUACCGUAAGAAUAAGCACCGGCUAACUCCGUGCCAGCAGCCGCGGUAAUCCGGAGGGUGCAAGCGUUAUCCGGAUUCACUGGGUUUAAAGGGUGCGUAGGCGGAUAAAUAAGUCAGUGGUGAAAUCAACCGUCUCAACCUGUUAACUGCCAUUGAUACUGUGUAUCUUGAAUAUGAGAGAGGUAGGCGGAAUGUUGCAUGUAGCGGUGAAAUGCUUAGAUAUGCUACGGAACACCGAUUGCGAAGGCAGCUUACUAUUUCGUAAUUGACGCUGAGGCACGAAAGCGUGGGUAGCGAACAGGAUUAGAAACCCGAGUAGUCC